This is a long non-coding RNA of Manis pentadactyla (Chinese pangolin), 1729 nucleotides long. RefSeq lists it as uncharacterized. The record is from RefSeq and is a predicted model, not a curated record. NCBI's taxonomy places the organism in Eukaryota, Metazoa, Chordata, Mammalia, Pholidota, Manidae. The transcript has 3 exons.
GUUAACUUGAACUGUGAGAUGUGAAUUCACUCUUCCCUUAUAUGGUCUCAGUUCCUGUGGGCCUCUCACUGUGUGAUUCUCAUGCUUAAAUAUAUGUGCUUUAUAAAUUCAACAUGGCCCCUAAAUGCAAGCCAAUUGGCUUAGUUCUCAACUAAAGAAAGAAUGAUCUGGUAUAAUGUUGGUAUAAACUUGUGUUAGACUUACUAAAAAACGGUAUGUCUCUCCAAUGUAGCACCUUUCGAAGGAAUUUUUGAGGGGUAUUUUGUUUGUUUGUUUUUCAUCAGGAAUCUAACGCCUCAUAUGAUAGGACUUCCCCAUACUUGUCUUGUUUCCCCAGCUGGUGUGAAAACUGUGUGAGCAGGACCUAUGUUCUAAACUUCUUUGCAUUCUUCCAAAGCGCCUAGCAAAGCAACUUGAAAAUAAUAGGAGCUAAACCAGUCAAUGUUAAAGAGUAUUCACUAGACACACAUUAAUUUUUGCAGCAAGUUUAAGGUUACUGAGACACCCCUAAGCUCCCCGCAAAGUGGAAGGAAAGAUUUGUGCUAUCAAUCACGUAUAUUCCAUGACUUGUUGGCAUCCUCUGGGCUAUUUCUAGAGAUGGAAUCUGUCUGUUCCCAUCCCUAGCUGGAUCAACUGAGCACCUGGCAGUUUCCUAUUGAUGCCUGUUCAGCUGUCACCUUCAGACUCCUGGUUGUGUUUGCUCAAUGUGUCUCCUAGAGCAGGCCUGACUAUUUUGGGUCUAAGCUACAGCUGUCAGCGUUUCAGGCGUACCUCACGUAUUUCUAGUAUUAGUUGGAAAUACUUGAAGCCUGAAAAAGUAACUAUAAUGUUCUGAGUAUGAAGGAAAUAUUUAGGCAAGUAUCAACUGGCAGCAUAUAAGGCUAACUAAGAAAAAUCAAGUCCCUGGUGAUAAAAUGAGAUGAGAACAACAUAGCUAAGCCAUCUUGAAUUACUUGCAUUUUAGUAGCGUGGGCCUCAGAAGAAAACGGGGAACCAAGGACUUCUUCAAAGAGAGAACUUCUGUCACUUUUCCACUGUCACCUCCAAAGGGAAUACGGCAUUUCUAUACCAGACAGCAUAAUCUGGGAAACACCACUUGGCUCUUCCAUUAACUCCUAUGUCCUUCCACAACUGUCUUUCUUCCUUGCAGCUCCUGUUGGUCUUCACCAACUAGUUCACUUUUCUUGCCUUCAGCUCUCCAAGAGCCAACAUAUCUCUUUGCUGUCAUUUUGAUCUUCCUGCCAAGAUAUGGAUUUACAAUGGCAAGCAACUGCUUUGCUCUGAAUUCAGCCAAAUAGGGGUACUUGGAGGUCACAGGUAACUGAUGAGGGUGGAGGUGGUUUCAAAAAGUACAAGAAUGUUCUUCAUGAUAAAAAGAACGAAUGCUUGAUAGUAACUAUACCAGUUGGUGUGAGGAUUUAAUAAUGUAUAUAACUUUUGAAUCAUUAUGUUGUAUACUUGAAACCAAUAUAAUAUUGUAUAUCAACUAUACUUCAAUUAAAAAUAUAUCAAAAAAGAACGCAUGCUUAUUGGAAAAAAUUCAAACUAAAUAUAAAAGAAAGGAAAAUAAAAUACCUUUAAUCAUAAGACCCAGAGAUAACUACUCUGAACAUUUUGCUGAGCAUUUUUCAAUAUUCAUUCAUUUCUUCAAAAGGUAUUUAUUAGUGCCUCUCAGGCACUAAACACUGUUUUAGACUCAAAGGGAACAUCAAUAGAUAAAGCAGAAAAA